This 1426-nucleotide long non-coding RNA is filed under the name Gadus morhua (Atlantic cod). Its description in RNAcentral is "lncRNA (ENSGMOG00000035557.1)". The record is from RNAcentral. Lineage: Eukaryota; Metazoa; Chordata; Actinopteri; Gadiformes; Gadidae.
GAUGAUGUUUACUUCAGAGACGCUGUUGUAAUUCCUGUUUGGAAACCUGGACAUUUCUUGUUAUCUAAACCUUUGUCAGUCUCUCAGCCCUGGGCCAUGGAAAGAGACGACUGGUUUGGACAUCGAGGGCUUUCCACGGCAAAAGUAUGGCAUCGACUGUGGCAUCUCCAUGUUGAUGGUAGGUGUGAAUAUUAGGCAGAUUUAUUUACUCUUUGUGCUUAAAAAAUAUUUACAUAAUUUUUUUAUUUUUAUUUACAGUAUGCCCUUUACAAAGUCAUGGAUGCACCCUUUGACUUCACUGUUGUAAGUUCCCUUGCUUAUUCAAAGCUAUCUAAAAAGUUAUUUUAUAUUAUGGCUGAUAUAUAUUUUUUCUAUUUUAUUAGACUGAUAUGCCAUCGUUGAGAAAAUGGUGGUGUAUCAUGCUGAUUGAAAAUCUUGACCUUGGAAGCCAUGGCAAACUCUUUGCCCACUGGACUGACACAUCUAAGGCUCUUCUUCGGGGUGAGGUGCCACCAGUUUUUAAACUGAAGAAGAGAAGGCGAGAUGACAUUCAUGAGGGGCCACUUGACAACAUUGUAGCUGGAGUUGCCUGGCUGCGUCAGAAUGCAGGUUUGCUCAGGGGGAAGGUGGUUGAGCCCGCAUUUCCGAAUAUCGACGCAAAAGAACAGCAGGAGCUCCUGAAAAGGAUCCGUUCUUCAACUGAUGAAGAAGAAAAGCAUCCCCUGCUCUUCACAUUUGAUUUUCAGGAAGACAUGGAGGUCUUCCUUAACAUGGCAGCUGAGGAGGAUCUUCGGGUCAACGCCAUGUUUCUGGGUCGCUGGGUGGACAGCCAGUGACAUUGCUGUGUGUGUGUGUGUGUGUGUGUGUGUGUGUGUGUGUGUGUGUGUGUGUGUGUGUGUGUGUGUGUGUGUGUGUGUGUGUGUGUGUGUGUGUGUGUGUGUGUGUGUGUGUGUGUGUGUUGAGGUUCUGAGUUCAGUUAUCUGUUGUGUUCUUAAUAAAGUGUUAUAACGUUUACAAUGUAUUGAUUUUUUGUAUUACUUUACUUAUUCACUUUGGUUACACACAGAGCUAAGUUAAAACACAGACUUGAGUUUGUCGUAUUUAAAUAUGGGCAAAUAAGGUGGUCCCGCAGCACAAGGUAAGACAAUAUUAUAGACAAUUAGAGCCAGAUAUUAAAUGAAUGAUGGUUCAGAGUAAGAAUUUAGGAAUGCAAAAGUGCUAAUAACAUAUGAUAAAUUAUGUUGGAAUGCAGUCGAACCUUAUGAUAUUAAGACAACAGAAUGUAACAUAGCUAGACCUAAUAUAAAUAUGUCAGAAAAGGUGAAGCUAAAGGGGAAUUGUUCUAUCUAUUCCUGUUCACUCAUACAUAGUAUUUAAAAUAAUUAUUAGCCUCAAUCUCUGAUGCCCUUCAACUUUAAUAACGAGU